CCUACGGGUGGCAGCAGUGGGGAAUAUUGGACAAUGGGGGCAACCCUGAUCCAGGCAUGCCGCGUGUGUGAAGAAGGCCCUCGGGUUGUAAAGCACUUUCAGUGAGGAAGAACGCCUGGUGGUUAAUACCCAUCAGGAAAGACAUCACUCACAGAAGAAGCACCGGCUAACUCCGUGCCAGCAGCCGCGGUAAUACGGAGGGUGCGAGCGUUAAUCGGAAUUACUGGGCGUAAAGCGCGCGUAGGUGGCUUGAUAAGCCGGUUGUGAAAGCCCCGGGCUCAACCUGGGAACGGCAUCCGGAACUGUCAAGCUAGAGUGCAGGAGAGGAAGGUAGAAUUCCCGGUGUAGCGGUGAAAUGCGUAGAGAUCGGGAGGAAUACCAGUGGCGAAGGCGGCCUUCUGGACUGACACUGACACUGAGGUGCGAAAGCGUGGGUAGCAAACAGGAUUAGAUACCCGUGUAGUC
RNAcentral lists this ribosomal RNA (465 nucleotides) under Vreelandella stevensii. Its description in RNAcentral is "partial 16S ribosomal RNA". It matches the Rfam family "Bacterial small subunit ribosomal RNA", at positions 338 to 795 of the family's 1533-position model. Lineage: Bacteria; Pseudomonadati; Pseudomonadota; Gammaproteobacteria; Oceanospirillales; Halomonadaceae. The record is from RNAcentral.